GUUCAGCUUCCAAUUCUUGUAAACAUACGUACAAAUUUCACUUUCUGAUUUCUGGAAACCAAAAGUGAGGUGCUUCUCAGUAAACUUUUUGCGCUGCAGAAAUUGAUGUUCAUGCAAAUGAUCCUCCUAAUCUAUGCUAAACAUUAAAAACUGCACUACUCAGCCACAGCCUGCCUUUGUAAAGCUGGGAUGUGCUGGCACAAAGACUCCCCCUCAUAUCAGAUGAAACAAUGCCAGCUACUCCAGCAGGACCAAGAAGAAAGCCUGAGCUGCAGCUGGAAUUCAGAAAUAGCAGCCAAGACAUAUCUGCCUAGACACACCAGGAUGGAAUUUGGGGAAUGUGAAGUGGAAGCUAAGCAGUGCCGGCAGCACCUGGAAGCAGCCAGCCUUCAUACCUGCCUUGGGAAGACACAGAGGAGAAAUCUCAUGCUCAAGGGGGACCAGUUAAUAUGAGUUUCUGAAGGGACCAGCCACCAUCCAUGCAGUAGAGGAAUUAAAUUACUGAAGACCAGAAGACAGAGAGAGAAAAACAUUUGGGGUCUGUGGCUUACUGCCAUUCAGACAUGUGCAAGUACAUGAGGCAGUUCGGUACAACCCCCCUCUGCAAAUAUUCACUCUCCAUAUGAGGUUUAAGCAUCUGACUUCAGUUGCUGCCAAUAAAAUAUAUUAGGCUGACAAUGUUUCAGCAUGAAAGGCAACCACUGAAGCCAACAUCAGUGUUUCUCUUUCCCUCAAAUAUGAGGGCAAAGCCCCAUAGCCUAAUAGUGAAACUCAGCAAAUGAAGAAAACCAAGUCAUUCUUUGUUAGAAUGAAACUUGUGAGAGCCAGGGCAUAACAGCAGCACGGAGAAGUUCCUGUUGGAGCCUGCAGUGGUUUGCAUAAGAUGAUCACCCCUCUUCUAGCAUGCAGCACUUUCAGAGGGGUUGCUGAUUCCUGCUGAAUUGGGGCUGGUUUUCUGUUUUUCCUGUUCUGUUGACACAUUGCUUACAAGAGUUCACCAAGGUCAGGUUUGCCUUCUUCUGUGCUGUUAAAAAAUGGAAAGCCACUGGAAAUGUUAAAGGGGUGAAGUUCAAGAAGCUGGCGUGGUUUCUGCUACAGAGCUGCUGUACAGCUUGGGAAUUUUCUGCCAGACUCAUUCAGUUUCAUCCAAGAGUUUCAGAAAAACAGGUGAUUUCAAGUUUCUGGGUGUUUUUAACUUUUAUUUUAAUUAAAUAAACUCAGAUUUGGUUCAAUAUAUAUAUUUUUU
Molecule: long non-coding RNA, 1246 nt
Organism: Lagopus leucura (white-tailed ptarmigan)
Lineage: Eukaryota; Metazoa; Chordata; Aves; Galliformes; Phasianidae
Exons: 3
Source: RefSeq, a predicted model, not a curated record